CCUCGGGGGGGAGAUAGAAUGUUAGUUGUGCGCCUCCAGCUAUGAUGGAGACGCGGCAUACGGCUCAGUAACACGUGGCUAACCCACCCUUGAGACGAAGAAAACCCCGGGAAACUGGGGGUAAUCCUCGAUAGAAGAAGACACCUGGAAGGGGUCUCCUUCCAAAAGGCGUCUAGAUCAUGCUUCUGGACGUUGCUCAAGGACGGGGCCGCGGCCGAUCAGGUUGUUGGUGAGGCAAAGGCUCACCAAGCCUUUAACCGGUACGGGCCGUGAGAGCGGGAGCCCGGAGAUGGGCACUGAGACAAGGGCCCAGGCCCUACGGGGCGCAGCAGUUACGAAAACUCCGCAAUGCACGAAAGUGUGACGGGGCUACCCCGAGUGCCGUCCGCUGAGGGCGGCUUUUCCCUGGUGUAAGGAGCCGGGGGAAUAAGGAGAGGGCAAGUCUGGUGUCAGCCGCCGCGGUAAUACCAGCUCUCCGAGUGGUAGGGAUGUUUAUUGGGCUUGAAGCGUCCGUAGCUGGCCUGACAAGUCUUCCGUUAAAUCUACCGAUUCAAUCGCUAGACCGCGGGGGAUACUGUUGGGCUAGGAGGCGGAAGAGGCCGACGGUAUUCUCGGGGUAGGGGUAAAAUCCUAUAAUCCCGGGAAGACCACCAGUGGCGAAGGCGGUCGGCUAGAACGCGCUCAAACGGUGAGGGACGAAAGCUUGGAACCAGCCGGCUAAGCAAACCCGGUUGCGCUCUCGACUAGAUCCACCUGCUGGGCUGGCCGCAGGCAUGCAACUUUGCCGCUCGGCGUCGGCUUACGCCUGCUUGACUGUAAUGGAAGUGGGCGUGGGGAAGAACACUCGGGUGAAGCAUGUCUUGAAUUGAUGUCUUGCCUGGGAACUUAUAAUGGACCACUGGU
This 903-nucleotide ribosomal RNA is filed under the name uncultured archaeon. Its description in RNAcentral is "bacterial SSU rRNA". It matches the Rfam family "Archaeal small subunit ribosomal RNA", at positions 31 to 944 of the family's 1478-position model. The record is from RNAcentral.